RNAcentral lists this ribosomal RNA (772 nucleotides) under uncultured Neocallimastigales. RNAcentral describes it as "partial large subunit ribosomal RNA". It matches the Rfam family "Eukaryotic large subunit ribosomal RNA", at positions 24 to 633 of the family's 3401-position model. Lineage: Eukaryota; Fungi; Neocallimastigomycota; Neocallimastigomycetes; Neocallimastigales. The record is from RNAcentral.
GUAGUCUCGCACAGAUGCAUUCAAUAAGCGGAGGAAAAGAAACUAACAAGGAUUCCCCUAGUAACGGCGAGUGAAGCGGGAAGAGCUCAAAUUUGAAAUCUUAAAGGGUUUCCCUUUACGAAUUGUAGUUUAAAGAAGUGUUUUCUGUUGAGGUUUUGGUAAAAGUUCUUUGGAAUAGGACAUCAUAGAGGGUGAGAAUCCCGUAUUUGACCUUUACUUUCAACUUUGUGAUACACUUUCAAAGAGUCGGAUUGUUUGGGAAUGCAGUCCAAAAUGGGUGGUAAAUUUCAUCUAAAGCUAAAUAUUGGCGAGAGACCGAUAGCGAACAAGUACCGUGAGGGAAAGAUGAAAAGAACUUUGAAAAGAGAGUUAAACAGUACGUGAAAUUGUCAAAAGGGAAGCGUUUGACACCAGUGUUGUUUUUCUGAAAAUCAAUUAAAGAACUGUUUAUGCUAAGCUGUUUAGACUUUAUCAGCUAACUGUUUAGUUUUGAGCUUUUCUUUAAUGCACUUUUCAGUUAACAAGUCAACAUCAAUUUCUUUUGCUGUAAAAAAGCUUGAGGAAGGUGGCUUGAGAUUCGUCUUAAGUGUUUAUAGCCUCUUGCCUAUGCAGUCGGAGAGAUUAGGUCUGCAGCGUAGAUCCUUCGGGGCUAAAUGCAUUUGUGCUAAGUUAUAGCAUUUUAUAGACAACUUGUUGACUAUGAUUUGUCUUGUAGCUUACUCGCUUAUGUUAUUUUACCUACGCUUAGGAUGUUGAAGACUCUACAGAGAUA